UGCUCCACUUCAAGCAAAUUGCUGGUUUCCUUGGACAAGCAACACUACAAACUCAUUGAGAGAAGACCAGAGAUAUAAUCAUCUUCAAGUUCUUGAUCUGAGCCUGGAGGUGAAUGUAUGAAGAGAGUAUCUCCUGAAAUGUCUCAUGGUGUAUUUAGUGGAAGAAGUGGACCAACUGUUUAAACACUGGUUGUUCAGAAAGGUGAAGCUCAGGCUGAACUUAAGAGGUGCACGAUGGCCCUGUUUGCCCUCAGGGAGGAAGAGGACUGUCUUCAGCCACCACAGGAAGUCAGUCGCACAUGAAUGUUCCAUGUUUGGCCUUAUCUAUGCGUUAAACUUGAGCUAUCCUGGUGAGCUCAAACACACAUUUGUGGCCCGGCAGAAAAUAUUUAGGGAACGUAUUCUAUAUUGACAUUAAAAUAUUAAAUUUUGGUCACACUAUUUGUCAAACAAUUGUCAGAUUUUAACAUGGUUAGCAAAUAGGAUUAUACAGUUUUUAAGCUUAAGUUAUUAAAAAUGCAUUGUUUUAUUGAUUUUAUUUUUGUUUUCUGUCUUUUAUUGGAGAAAUAAUUUAAUAGUAAAACAUGGUAUGGUUUCAAGGAUGGUAAUAAAUGUUUUUGGA
Long non-coding RNA from Clarias gariepinus (North African catfish), 622 nucleotides. RefSeq lists it as uncharacterized. The transcript is spliced from 3 exons. NCBI's taxonomy places the organism in Eukaryota, Metazoa, Chordata, Actinopteri, Siluriformes, Clariidae. The record is from RefSeq and is a predicted model, not a curated record.